RNAcentral lists this ribosomal RNA (456 nucleotides) under Phomopsis asparagi. RNAcentral describes it as "eukaryotic LSU rRNA". It matches the Rfam family "Eukaryotic large subunit ribosomal RNA", at positions 87 to 555 of the family's 3401-position model. The record is from RNAcentral. Lineage: Eukaryota; Fungi; Ascomycota; Sordariomycetes; Diaporthales; Diaporthaceae.
CGGCGAGUGAAGCGGCAACAGCUCAAAUUUGAAAUCUGGCCUCGGCCCGAGUUGCAAUUUGCAGAGGAUGCUUCUGGCGCGGUGCCUUCCGAGUUCCCUGGAACGGGACGCCACAGAGGGUGAGAGCCCCGUAUGGUCGGACACCAAGCCUGUGUGAAGCUCCUUCGACGAGUCGAGUAGUUUGGGAAUGCUGCUCUAAAUGGGAGGUAAAUCUCUUCUAAAGCUAAAUACCGGCCAGAGACCGAUAGCGCACAAGUAGAGUGAUCGAAAGAUGAAAAGCACCUUGAAAAGGGGGUUAAAUAGUACGUGAAAUUGUUGAAAGGGAAGCACUUGUGACCAGACUUGGGCCGGGCGGCUCAUCAGGGGUUCUCCCCUGUGCACUCCGCCCGGCACAGGCCAGCAUUUGGUUCUCGUGGGGGGACAAGACCGUCAGGAACGUAGCACCCUUCCGGGGUG